Long non-coding RNA from Ornithodoros turicata, 1453 nucleotides. RefSeq lists it as uncharacterized. The transcript has 3 exons. NCBI's taxonomy places the organism in Eukaryota, Metazoa, Arthropoda, Arachnida, Ixodida, Argasidae. The record is from RefSeq and is a predicted model, not a curated record.
GGUAGAAAAGGAAGAUGUAGCAACCUGCUCAGACUCCGCCCAUGUUUCAGUCAGGGAAUCGUUUAACCCAAAGAACAAGAGAUUGCUGCGACGUGAGCGAUCUUCAAGGUUAACUAGUCCGUUUUCAAUGGCAGUGACUUUGUCCCUAAGGGACUGAAGGCAUAGUUCAACGACCUUCUGGCUAUCCUGCAUCUUACGCAAUUCUCGAAGAAGAGUAUCUUGACCCUGCUGCAAAGAUGCCAAAGCUGCUGGGACGUCAUCCAGAGACCUAGUUGUAGCAUUCGCCGGAAGCUCCCAUAUACGCAGUGGGCCAGGGAAAAUGACGGGCGCCCAAACCACGUGAUCUCCAGGAGCCACUCACAGCGGUCAAGAUCAGCAGCGCGAGAAAAAAAGCGUGGGUCAAGUCACUGAUCUCUAUAGUAAUAGGCUGGAUAGCGGAUUGAGGGUGCAACCAUACGGUCACCGGCCGCCAUCUUGCGAAGCUCAAAACAUUGCCGUCCGGGACUCAGCUGCAUAUUCUGCAUGCGCCUUUGCGUAGCAUUUUUGUGGUGUCAUGCCCGCCUGCUGUGGUUAUGGGUGUACUGUCGGUACUGGCAAGGCACCGGGCACGACAUUUGACAAGUAAGUGACUUAGUUUUACAAAUAAAUGUGAUUUAUUAGUCCACGAGCGGGGCGACAAAACGUUGCUGUUGACCCAUGUGCGCGGCACUUUGUGACUCGUAUCUCAAGAUCUAAACGUUAAACUUUAAGCAGUACGUUAUCUAGAUAGUGUCAUUGUGAUGGUCCAGACUUCCUGCAGUUCACGGAUAUGGUCUCGGCAGUCGGCACGCAGCAGGCGUUGAAGUGCGCUUGUCAGGUGUGGUAUUUACGGCUCAGUUUGUUGGUCACGGUAUCGACGAUCGCUUGCUUGGAUCAGCCUUGUCACCCCUGCCGUAAUUGAUGGCAUAAAUUGUUCAAUGCAGGUUUCCUCACAGCCGCCCAGAAGAUUUAAAAAAGUGUGUGGUGAAUGUCAGGCGAAAGGACUGGACGCCGUCGAGGACAUCACUGGUCUUCAGCAAACAUUUUAAAAACAGGUGCUUCGACAGAACGGGCAAAACCGUUCGACUGAGGCCUGACGCUGUGCCCAACAAGUUCGACUUCCCAGAACACCUCCAGAAAGUAAUAAUGCAUGCGUCAUAUGUAGAGGCCGGAUUUAGAUCUGGUUGAACACACAUUCAUGAAAAAUUCAUUAAUCUUGCUCAAAAUAUGCACCUCGAGAAAUUCACUUGCUAGAAAUAUGAUUGCUAAUAUUCACUCUAGAAAAACAUGCAACAAAUUCACUGGGGCAAAAGUAUCUUAUUUUAUGCAGUGUACAUAAAGCAUGCAGAGUUCAAAGCAUAGAUCGAGAAGUGACCCAUCAAAAGGAACUCGUUACGAAGUUGUCGUGUGAAAAAUGUAACUAAGUUAAUAACGA